CGGGUUGCUUGAGAGUGCAGCCCAAAGUGGGUGGUAAACUCCACCUAAGGCUAAAUACUUUCCACGAGACCGAUAGCAAACAAGUACCGUGAGGGAAAGUUGCAAAGAACUUUGAAGAGAGAGUUCAAGAGUGCGUGAAACCGUUCGGAGGUAAACGGGUGGGAGCGCGAAGGUCG
RNAcentral lists this ribosomal RNA (176 nucleotides) under Deltotaria brimleii brimleii. RNAcentral's name for it is "partial large subunit ribosomal RNA". It matches the Rfam family "Eukaryotic large subunit ribosomal RNA", at positions 266 to 440 of the family's 3401-position model. The record is from RNAcentral. Lineage: Eukaryota; Metazoa; Arthropoda; Diplopoda; Polydesmida; Xystodesmidae.